CCNUUAGAGGAAGUAAAAGUCGUAACAAGGUUUCCGUAGGUGAACCUGCGGAAGGAUCAUUAGUGAACGCCCUCACGGGCUUAUAACUAUUCCAAACCUCUGUGAACCGUGCCCUUCGGGGCUAUUUUACAAACAUGGUGUAAUGAACGUCAUAUAUCAUAACAAAACAAAACUUUCAACAACGGAUCUCUUGGCUCUCGCAUCGAUGAAGAACGCAGCGAAAUGCGAUAAGUAAUGUGAAUUGCAGAAUUCAGUGAAUCAUCGAAUCUUUGAACGCACCUUGCGCCCUCUGGUAUUCCGGAGGGCAUGCCUGUUUGAGUGUCAUGUAGACUCAAUCCCUCGGGUUUCCGAGGAGAUUGGACUUGGGUGUUGCCGCUCUGCCGGCUCGCCUUAAAAGACUUAGCGGGAUAGCACCGUAGUCGGCGUAAUAAGUUUCGUCGGUGAAGGUUGUGAUGACUGCUUACAAUCGCCCUCGGGCAAUUUUUGACUCUGACCUCAAAUCAGGUAGGACUACCCGCUGAACUUAAGCAUAUCAAUAAGCGGAGGAAAAGAAACUAACAAGGAUUCCCUUAGUAGCGGCGAGCGAAGCGGGAAGAGCUCAAAUUUGAAAGCUGGCGUCCUUCGGGCGUCCGCAUUGUAAUCUAUAGAGGCGUUUUCUGUGCUGGACCGUGUMAAA
Molecule: ribosomal RNA, 676 nt
Filed under: uncultured Cryptococcus
Lineage: Eukaryota; Fungi; Basidiomycota; Tremellomycetes
Description: eukaryotic LSU rRNA
Rfam family: 5.8S ribosomal RNA (bases 171-324)
Source: RNAcentral